RNAcentral lists this ribosomal RNA (279 nucleotides) under uncultured bacterium. RNAcentral describes it as "partial 16S ribosomal RNA". It matches the Rfam family "Bacterial small subunit ribosomal RNA", at positions 506 to 784 of the family's 1533-position model. The record is from RNAcentral.
UGCCAGCAGCCGCGGUAAUACGAAUGGGGCAAGCGUUGUUCGGAAUCACUGGGCUUAAAGCGUGCGUAGGCGGAAAUGAAAGUCAGAAGUGAAAUCCCAGGGCUCAACCCUGGAACUGCUUUUGAAACUCCAUUUCUAGAAUUCGGUAGAGGUCAGGAGAAUUCCUAGUGUAGAGGUGAAAUUCGCAGAUAUUAGGAGGAAUACCAGUGGCGUAGGCGCCUGACUGGGCCGAUAUUGACGCUGAGGUACGAAAGCGUGGGGAGCAAACAGGAUUAGAUA